Molecule: ribosomal RNA, 406 nt
Filed under: uncultured bacterium
Lineage: Bacteria
Description: partial 16S ribosomal RNA
Rfam family: Bacterial small subunit ribosomal RNA
Source: RNAcentral
AUUGAACGCUGGCGGCAGGCCUAACACAUGCAAGUCGAGCGAGUGGCGGACGGGUGAGUAAUGUCUGGGAAACCGCCUGAUGGCGGGGGAACACUACUGGAAACGGUAGCCAAUUCCGCUUACCAUCGGAUGUGCCUAGAUGGGAUUAGCUAGUAGGUGGGGUAAAGGCUCACCUAGGCGACGAUGCCUAGCUGGUCUGAGAGGAUGACCACCAACAGGGCAACGGAGACACGCUCCAAACUCCUAUGGGAGGCAGCGGUGGGGAUUAUUGGACAAGGGGCGGUAGCGUAAAGCAGCCAAGGCGCGUGUAGGUAAAAGGCCUUCGGGUUGUGGAGUACUUUCAGCUGGGAGGCGUUACCCACCGAAGAAGCACCGGCUAACUCCGUGCCAGCAGCCGCGGUAAUAC